Molecule: long non-coding RNA, 317 nt
Organism: Ochotona princeps (American pika)
Lineage: Eukaryota; Metazoa; Chordata; Mammalia; Lagomorpha; Ochotonidae
Exons: 2
Source: RefSeq, a predicted model, not a curated record
CACAGGAUGUUUGGCCUUGCUCAAGUCUCUUUAUUUCCAUCAGCCUCCAUUUUGAUAUUUUUAAAAUAAUACUGCUAAAAAUCACCCAUCACGACUGGUAUACCUUGUCAACACGCACAGAAGGAAGAAUGCUACUGGACCUAAAAAUUACACUCUGGUUAGCAGAAGGAACUAAGAACAUGACACAGAAAGAGAUGGGCUAGACAUCUUUAACACCUGAAAGGUAAUCAUAGAGAAGGCCAGGACAAGUCCAGUUGUAGAGGGCAGAACCAAGCAACUGUUACAGAAAGGUCAUCUUCAGUUCAAUGAGGAGGAAU